UACGGGGGGGGCAAGCGUUGUUCGGAAUUACUGGGCGUAAAGGGCUCGUAGGCGGCCAACUAAGUCAGACGUGAAAUCCCUCGGCUUAACCGGGGAACUGCGUCUGAUACUGGAUGGCUUGAGUGUGGGAGAGGGAUGCGGAAUUCCAGGUGUAGCGGUGAAAUGCGUAGAUAUUGGGAAGAACACCGGUGGCGAAGGCGGCUCUCUGGACCGAGACUGACGCUGAGGCGCGAAAGCGUGGGGAGCAAACAGG
Molecule: ribosomal RNA, 253 nt
Filed under: uncultured bacterium
Lineage: Bacteria
Description: partial 16S ribosomal RNA
Rfam family: Bacterial small subunit ribosomal RNA
Source: RNAcentral